Molecule: ribosomal RNA, 447 nt
Filed under: uncultured Corynebacterium sp.
Lineage: Bacteria; Bacillati; Actinomycetota; Actinomycetes; Mycobacteriales; Corynebacteriaceae
Description: bacterial SSU rRNA
Rfam family: Bacterial small subunit ribosomal RNA
Source: RNAcentral
CCUACGGGUGGCAGCAGUGGGGAAUAUUGCACAAUGGGCGCAAGCCUGAUGCAGCGACGCCGCGUGGGGGAUGACGGCCUUCGGGUUGUAAACUCCUUUCGCUAGGGACGAAGCUUUUUGUGACGGUACCUAGAUAAGAAGCACCGGCUAACUACGUGCCAGCAGCCGCGGUAAUACGUAGGGUGCGAGCGUUGUCCGGAAUUACUGGGCGUAAAGGGCUCGUAGGUGGUUUGUCGCGUCGUCUGUGAAAUUCCGGGGCUUAACUCCGGGCGUGCAGGCGAUACGGGCAUAACUUGAGUACUGUAGGGGUAACUGGAAUUCCUGGUGUAGCGGUGAAAUGCGCAGAUAUCAGGAGGAACACCGAUGGCGAAGGCAGGUUACUGGGCAGUUACUGACGCUGAGGAGCGAAAGCAUGGGUAGCGAACAGGAUUAGAUACCCCUGUAGUC